This 436-nucleotide ribosomal RNA is filed under the name uncultured bacterium. RNAcentral describes it as "partial 16S ribosomal RNA". It matches the Rfam family "Bacterial small subunit ribosomal RNA", at positions 29 to 507 of the family's 1533-position model. The record is from RNAcentral.
AGCGAACGCUGGCGGCAGGCUUAACACAUGCAAGUCGAGCGGGCAUCCUUGUGGUGUCCGCGGCCGACGGGUGAGUAACGCGUGGGAACGUGCCCUUCGGUUCGGAAUAACUCAGGGAAACUUGAGCUAAUACCGGAUACGCCCUUUUGGGGAAAGGUUUACUGCCGAAGGAUCGGCCCGCGUCUGAUUAGCUAGUUGGUGAGGUUAUGGCUCACCAAGGCGACGAUCAGUAGCUGGUCUGAGAGGAUGAUCAGCCACACUGGGACUGAGACACGGCCCAGACUCCUACGGGAGGCAGCAGUGGGGAAUAUUGGACAAUGGGGGCAACCCUGAUCCAGCCAUGCCGCGUGAGUGAUGACGGCCUUAGGGUUGUAAAGCUCUUUUCUCCGGGACGAUAAUGACGGUACCGGAGGAAUAAGCCCCGGCUAACUUCGUG